Molecule: ribosomal RNA, 595 nt
Filed under: Lodderomyces metapsilosis
Lineage: Eukaryota; Fungi; Ascomycota; Pichiomycetes; Serinales; Debaryomycetaceae
Description: eukaryotic LSU rRNA
Rfam family: Eukaryotic large subunit ribosomal RNA
Source: RNAcentral
AAGCGGAGGAAAAGAAACCAACAGGGAUUGCCUUAGUAGCGGCGAGUGAAGCGGCAAAAGCUCAAAUUUGAAAUCUGGCACUUUCAGUGUCCGAGUUGUAAUUUGAAGAAGGUAUCUUUGGGUCUGGCUCUUGUCUAUGUUUCUUGGAACAGAACGUCACAGAGGGUGAGAAUCCCGUGCGAUGAGAUGACCCAGACCUAUGUAAAGUUCCUUCGAAGAGUCGAGUUGUUUGGGAAUGCAGCUCUAAGUGGGUGGUAAAUUCCAUCUAAAGCUAAAUAUUGGCGAGAGACCGAUAGCGAACAAGUACAGUGAUGGAAAGAUGAAAAGAACUUUGAAAAGAGAGUGAAAAAGUACGUGAAAUUGUUGAAAGGGAAGGGCUUGAGAUCAGACUUGGUAUUUUGUAUGUUACUCUUUCGGGGGUGGCCUCUACAGUUUACCGGGCCAGCAUCAGUUUGGGCGGUAGGAGAAUUGCAAAGAAAUGUGGCACUGCUUCGGUAGUGUGUUAUAGUCUUUGUCGAUACUGCCAGCCUAGACUGAGGACUGCGGCUUCGGCCUAGGAUGUUGGCAUAAUGAUCUUAAGUCGCCCGUCUUGAAA